AGGGCAAUAGCUCAAUUGGUAGAGCACCGGUCUCCAAAACCGGCGGUUGGGGGUUCGAGUCCCUCUUGCCCUGCUA
This 76-nucleotide transfer RNA is filed under the name Mangrovactinospora gilvigrisea. RNAcentral's name for it is "Streptomyces gilvigriseus tRNA-Trp". It matches the Rfam family "tRNA". From Rfam's summary of the family: Transfer RNA (tRNA) molecules are approximately 80 nucleotides in length. Their secondary structure includes four short double-helical elements and three loops (D, anti-codon, and T loops). The record is from RNAcentral. Lineage: Bacteria; Bacillati; Actinomycetota; Actinomycetes; Kitasatosporales; Streptomycetaceae.